RNAcentral lists this transfer RNA (71 nucleotides) under Loxodonta africana (African savanna elephant). It matches the Rfam family "tRNA". Rfam says of the family: Transfer RNA (tRNA) molecules are approximately 80 nucleotides in length. Their secondary structure includes four short double-helical elements and three loops (D, anti-codon, and T loops). Lineage: Eukaryota; Metazoa; Chordata; Mammalia; Proboscidea; Elephantidae. The record is from Rfam by way of RNAcentral.
GCCCUUGUGGCUCAGUGGUAGAAUUCUCACCUUCCAUGCAGGAGACCCGGGUUUGAUUCCUGGCCAGGGCA